GAUGAACGCUAGCGGCAGGCCUAAUACAUGCAAGUCGUACGGCAACACAGUUGCGAGCAAUCGCAACCGGUGGCGAGUGGCGCACGGGUGAGUAACGCGUAUGUAACCUACCCUUCUCCGGGACAUAACUCCGCGAAAGCGGUGCUAAUAUCCCAUACCAACUCAUCAAGACAUCUUCUUGAGUUGAAAGCAGCAAUGCGGUGAAGGAUGGGCAUGCGUCCCAUUAGCUGGUUGGUGAGGUAAUGGCCCACCAAGGCUACGAUGGGUAGGGGUUCUGAGAGGAAGCCCCCACACUGGUACUGAGACACGGACCAGACUCCUACGGGAGCAGCAGUAAGGAAUAUUGGGCAAUGGUCGAAAGACUGACCCAGCCAUGCCGCGUGCAGGAUGGAACGGCCCUAUGGGUUGUAAACUGCUUUUAGCCGGAAUAAACCACCGUUUUAGAACGGCCCGAAGGUACCGCUGAAUAAGCAUCGGCUAACUCCGUGCCAGCAC
This 495-nucleotide ribosomal RNA is filed under the name uncultured bacterium. RNAcentral describes it as "bacterial SSU rRNA". It matches the Rfam family "Bacterial small subunit ribosomal RNA", at positions 28 to 514 of the family's 1533-position model. The record is from RNAcentral.